RNAcentral lists this ribosomal RNA (433 nucleotides) under uncultured bacterium. RNAcentral describes it as "bacterial SSU rRNA". It matches the Rfam family "Bacterial small subunit ribosomal RNA", at positions 355 to 786 of the family's 1533-position model. The record is from RNAcentral.
UGAGGAAUAUUGGUCAAUGGGCUGAGGCCUGAACCAGCCAAGUCGCGUGAGGAAGACGGUCCUAUGGAUUGUAAACCUCUUUUGUCGGGGAGCAACGACGUCACGAGUGACGGAAGUGAGAGUACCCGAAGAAAAAGCAUCGGCUAACUCCGUGCCAGCAGCCGCGGUAAUACGGAGGAUGCGAGCGCUAUCCGGAUUUAUUGGGUUUAAAGGGUGCGUAGGCGGACUGUUAAGUCAGCGGUAAAAAUUCGGGGCCCAAACCCCGUCAUGCCGUUGAAACUGGCGGACUAGAGUGGGCGAGAAGUAUGCGGAAUGCGAGGUGUAGCGGUGAAAUGCAUAGAUAUCACGCAGAACUCCGAUUGCGAAGGCAGCAUACCGGCGCCCGACUGACGCUGAGGCACGAAAGCGUGGGGAUCGAACAGGAUUAGAUACC